RNAcentral lists this transfer RNA (90 nucleotides) under Planctomycetota bacterium. Its description in RNAcentral is "tRNA-Ser". It matches the Rfam family "tRNA". From Rfam's summary of the family: Transfer RNA (tRNA) molecules are approximately 80 nucleotides in length. The record is from RNAcentral. Lineage: Bacteria; Pseudomonadati; Planctomycetota.
GGAGAGGUGGCAGAGUGGUUGAUUGCGUCGGUUUCGAAAACCGAUUUGGCUGAAAGGUCAACGGGGGUUCGAAUCCCUCCCUCUCCGCCA